This 443-nucleotide ribosomal RNA is filed under the name uncultured bacterium. Its description in RNAcentral is "partial 16S ribosomal RNA". It matches the Rfam family "Bacterial small subunit ribosomal RNA", at positions 338 to 795 of the family's 1533-position model. The record is from RNAcentral.
CCUACGGGUGGCUGCAGUGGGGAAUAUUGGGCAAUGGGCGCAAGCCUGACCCAGCAACGCCGCGUGAAGGAAGAAGGCUUUCGGGUUGUAAACUUCUUUUGUCAGGGACGAAGAAAGUGACGGUACCUGACGAUUAAGCCACGGCUAACUACGUGCCAGCAGCCGCGGUACUACGUAGGUGGCAAGCGUUAUCCGGAUUUAUUGGGUUUAAAGGGCGUGUAGGCGGGAAGUCAAGUCAGAUGUGAAAGCUAUCGGCUCAACCCAUAGCCUGCAUUUGACACUGUAUGUCUUGAGUGCUGGGGAGGCAAGCGGAAUUCCGGGUGUAGCGAUGAAAUGCGUAGAUAUACGGAGGAACACCAGUGGCGAAGGCAGAUUGCUGAACAGUAACUGACGCUGAGGCGCGAAAGCGUGGGGAGCAAACAGGAUUAGAUACCCCUGUAGUC